Hordeum vulgare subsp. vulgare (domesticated barley) is the source of this 136-nucleotide non-coding RNA. Lineage: Eukaryota; Viridiplantae; Streptophyta; Magnoliopsida; Poales; Poaceae. The record is from Rfam.
GAAGUACUCCCUCCGUCCCAAAAUUCUUGUCUUAGAUUUAUCUAGAAAUGGAUGUAGCUAAAUACUAAAACAUGACUAGAUACAUUCAAAUCUAGACAAAUCUAAGACAAGAAUUUUGGGACGGAGGGAGUAGAUG